AUACUUUUGUGGUUCUUAAGUAUGAUGAUUAGGUUUUCACACUUGUGUGUGAGAUGUGCCUUUCACAAACCAUGGUACAUUGCACAUUACCCAUUAUAUA
Nycticebus coucang (slow loris) is the source of this 100-nucleotide small nucleolar RNA. RefSeq annotates it as small nucleolar RNA U13. The transcript has a single exon. The record is from RefSeq and is a predicted model, not a curated record. Lineage: Eukaryota; Metazoa; Chordata; Mammalia; Primates; Lorisidae.